RNAcentral lists this transfer RNA (72 nucleotides) under Parageobacillus genomosp. 1. Its description in RNAcentral is "tRNA-Sec". It matches the Rfam family "tRNA". From Rfam's summary of the family: Transfer RNA (tRNA) molecules are approximately 80 nucleotides in length. Their secondary structure includes four short double-helical elements and three loops (D, anti-codon, and T loops). The record is from RNAcentral. Lineage: Bacteria; Bacillati; Bacillota; Bacilli; Caryophanales; Anoxybacillaceae.
AGGGGCAUAGUUUUAGUGGUAGAACAGCGGUUUUCAAAACCUUAGGUGACGGUUCAAUUCCUACUGCCCCUA